This is a long non-coding RNA of Passer domesticus (house sparrow), 373 nucleotides long. RefSeq lists it as uncharacterized. The record is from RefSeq and is a predicted model, not a curated record. The transcript has 3 exons. Lineage: Eukaryota; Metazoa; Chordata; Aves; Passeriformes; Passeridae.
GUCCACAUUUUCAGCCCUCAGUGCUUUCCUUUCACAAAACCCUGCUCACAAGAUAACUGCAGGCUCGAGCCAUGAAUCCAUUUUCUCUUAUUUGCAUGAAUUUUCCACAGAGUCCUUCAGAAGAUAAUCUGAUGCGUCUGUGACCAGACUACAAACAGACCUGCUCAGCUGUGACUUCUGUGAACAGACUUUGAUGCUCUCAGCCUAUUUUUAAUCCACUUAAGUGCAAGCUUUAGUGAGAGGCUUAACUCUUCCCUGCUUCGUGUCAUCUAUCCCUGAAUCAUGGCCAAGAGCAUGGCUUUCCCUCCUAGAGAUGCUGGGAAAAGCAGGAGUCUAUUUCUCUUGGAAGAGAAAAUUUGAAUUUAAAACAGAA